RNAcentral lists this ribosomal RNA (252 nucleotides) under uncultured Bacteroidales bacterium. RNAcentral describes it as "partial 16S ribosomal RNA". It matches the Rfam family "Bacterial small subunit ribosomal RNA", at positions 524 to 776 of the family's 1533-position model. The record is from RNAcentral. Lineage: Bacteria; Pseudomonadati; Bacteroidota; Bacteroidia; Bacteroidales.
UACGGAGGAUGCGAGCGUUAUCCGGAUUUAUUGGGUUUAAAGGGUGCGUAGGCGGAAUAUCAAGUCAGCGGUAAAAAUUCGGGGCUCAACCCCGUCGUGCCGUUGAAACUGAUGUUCUAGAGUGUGCGAGAGGUAUGCGGAAUGCGUGGUGUAGCGGUGAAAUGCAUAGAUAUCACGCAGAACCCCGAUUGCGAAGGCAGCAUACCGGUGCACAACUGACGCUCAGGCACGAAAGCGUGGGGAGCAAACAGG